UCUGAUCAAUGACUUUCUUCAUAGCCUAUAAACAUUGUCUUAUGCAUACACAGCAAAUUCAUCAGAGUUAAAUUCUCGGUGUUGAAGCAUUUCAGAGUAAAGUGUUGACGUUAAAGAGUUAGAUUUUGAUAAAUGAAUAUAAUAAGAGUUAAAAUUGAUUUUAUUCAGUGCGAAAUCAAGGAGUUAUCUUUUUUACACUUGGUGGUGUUAUUUCCAACAUCCGGGAAUUCAUGCAGCUCCAGUCACUGAAAAAUUUUCCAGACGCCAUUUUCCAUCUGAAGUUUAGAACAGCAACUGCCACAGUUCUCUAUACAAUAACACAAGACCCUGUGACGGUGGCUGAUUAGAGACGGAUGGUGUAUUUCCAGAGUUGGUGAAAUGACCAAGCACACCUUCUUGGUCAUAUGUGGUGAUAAUAACGAAGGUAUGUUUGAUAAAGUUCUGUAUUUGUUUCACAAUAAGCUGAGAGGGUAUUAGAGCAUUAGAGAAUAACAAAUGACAUGAAGGUGAUAAGUUUUGUAUUGUGGGUGAACUGUUACUUAAAUAAUGUUUUGCUCUUUGCUUUGCACUUUUCCUCUUCUGCUUAUCCUAAUAGUUAAGAUUAUAUUUGGACCUGAAACAUCUGCUAGACUCCAGGAAAGGUGGCGUCAAUACUGGUCCUGAAAGGGCCCAACAAGUUGAAUCUGGUAAAGAAACACGCACGCACGCACACACACACACACACACACGCACACGCUUACAGAAAACUGUAAGUUUAUGGAUAUUUUUUACACUGUGGCCAAUAUUUUGGGGAAGUCAGCAUCACUAAAUGAUAUAAAAGAUUUUAAGCUCCUCUAAAUUUUGCUCCAAGUGUUGUGUUAAAUUCAAGAUUCUGGACAGACAGCUGCCUGUUUUUCCAGUUCUAGUCAUAGUGAUUAACCUAAUUGUUUUUGGAGAUCCAACAGUGAUGUAUGUGUUUUUUUUUCUACUUUUCCAUAUCCUGUCACCUCAACCAGCUGGGAGAGUCAAGUUGUGGAUCAUCAUGAAGAUUUUCAAAAGUCAUGCUGGAGUCUUGAAGAGUUCUUAGAUGAGCAUCACCCUAUAUCCGUGCAUCAGGAACCACCAGACGAGCGAUCAGCAGCUACUACAUCGUCAUGGAUAAAAAGGUCAUCCUGUGGCUGGGAAGCACUUCAUUCACAGGACAUGCUUGAUGAGAUUUCCUAGCUCCAGUUUGUUUUCACACAAGUUUCCAGCAUUUAUACCUUCAUUUAAAUUGCUGUGUUUGAUAUGGAGGAACAAGGAAACACCAGAAGUGAAAGAUUUGCACGCCAAGUUGUUUAAAAUGUAAGUUUGGACCAAAGGACUAAAACAGCCUUUUUGAGCACUGGUCAUACAUAUUUUGUUGAUACUGUCUGUACUAAUAAAACAUUUAAAGCAUAUUUGACAUUGUUGCAUUUUAAAAACUGAAUGAAUUGUUGAAGUGGUGAAUGUUUUCAAAUAAAAUGUUUUUUCUUUUGUAAUUUACAGUCUAUUUGAGUUUUUUACCAUAUUUACAC
RNAcentral lists this long non-coding RNA (1535 nucleotides) under Danio rerio (zebrafish). RNAcentral's name for it is "lncRNA (ENSDARG00000117675.1)". The record is from RNAcentral. Lineage: Eukaryota; Metazoa; Chordata; Actinopteri; Cypriniformes; Danionidae.